Molecule: unclassified non-coding RNA, 56 nt
Organism: Microcebus murinus (gray mouse lemur)
Lineage: Eukaryota; Metazoa; Chordata; Mammalia; Primates; Cheirogaleidae
Source: Ensembl
UAAUCCAAUGGGUCACUCCUGUUUACUAUGACCUUAAGGAAUGUGACCCUUGAUCU